This 254-nucleotide ribosomal RNA is filed under the name uncultured bacterium. RNAcentral describes it as "partial 16S ribosomal RNA". It matches the Rfam family "Bacterial small subunit ribosomal RNA", at positions 524 to 776 of the family's 1533-position model. The record is from RNAcentral.
UACGUAGGGGCCUAGCGUUGUCCGGAUUUAUUGGGCGUAAAGAGCUCGUAGGCGGCUUGGUUAGUCAGGUGUGAAAUCUCCACGCUCAACGUGGAGGGGCCACCUGAUACUGCCAUGGCUUGAGUCCGGUAGGGAAGUGUGGAAUUCCCGGUGUAGCGGUGAAAUGCGCAGAUAUCGGGAGGAACACCCGUAGCGAAGGCGGCUCUCUGGGACGGUACUGACGCUGAGACGCGAAAGCGUGGGGAGCGAACAGG